RNA transcript from Aegilops tauschii subsp. strangulata, 1900 nucleotides. RefSeq lists it as uncharacterized. Lineage: Eukaryota; Viridiplantae; Streptophyta; Magnoliopsida; Poales; Poaceae. The record is from RefSeq and is a predicted model, not a curated record.
GACCAUACCCACCCUUCCAACGGCACGUCUAUUUCACGUGCCCUUCCUGCCUCCACUUCCUUACUCUUCUCCCACGUCACCUCCACCUACCGCCGGCGAACUCGUCCCCGUCGCUCUCCAAUCUUCCCACCGGAGAUGACGACAGAGGGUCUGGUGCCGAUCACGCGGGACUACCUCGCGCGCUACUACGACAAGUACCCGCUGCCCCCGAUCCCCGACGGCGUAACCGCCCUCGCUGCCCGCCUCCGCGCUCUGUCCGCCGAACUCGCCGCCGCCUCUCCCUUCUCCCCCGAGGAGGAGCACUUGGAACAAGAGGCAUCUGUUGUACCUGCCCAUAAAAUAGAUGAGAACAUGUGGAAGAACAGAGAACAGAUGGAAGAGAUUCUGUUUCUGCUUAAUAAAUCUCGUCGUCCAGUUGCUCUUCAACAGAAGUCCACACCAGAAGACGCUGAGAUAGUUUCCACACUUGAUGAUUGUGAAACUAAAUUGAAAGAGAUGUUGAAGAAGUUAGAACAGUUUCAGCUAAAAAAUGCUGAUAAUGUUUUCAAUACAGUUAUGACAUACAUGCCACAAGACUUCCGCGGUACACUGAUCAGGCAACAGCGAGAACGCUCUGAGAGAAAUAAGCAAGCGGAGGUUGAUGCUGUAGUUAGUGCUGGUGGAAGCAUUCAUGAUAGAUACGCAUUGCUAUGGAAGCAGCAAAUGGAUAGGCGGGUGCAAUUAGCGCAGCUUGGUUCUGCAACAGGUGUAUAUAAGACACUUGUUAGGUACUUGGUUGGUGUUCCACAGGUGUUAUUGGAUUUUAUUCGACAAAUAAAUGAUGCUAAUGGACCUAUGGAAGUGCAAAGAGAACGCUAUGGGCCAGCACUAUACACACUUACAAAACUGGUGCUUGCAGUUCGGUUGUAUCUACAUCUCUCUUUGGCACGAUUUGGACAGAAGAAAAUAGGGAAGGAUGACAUUGCUGUGUUGCAUCAGGCAGUGGUUAUAUACACCGAGGAAUUUGGGAAGUUCACUACAUUCAUCGGUGAGGUUUUUGUGAAUGCCCCAUUCUUCAUAUCUGCUGAGGAUGCAGGUGCUGAUUCGAGGAAAAACGAUGAGUACCGAGAAACCAUUAUUCCAGCGGGAAAGACACAUGAGGUUAUUUUAAGUGUUGAGGCUGUCAACUCAUAUAUUGCAUGGGAUUUCUCGUUGCAACAAGGGGCCCUCAGCACACUGCUGAUGAGCGCUUUUGAGGCUCCGAUGGAGCUCAACGUCCACCUCCGUGCUUUUGACGGUGACCCUCUAUUUGACCUGAUGUGCUGCCGUCAUCUUGUUGGGAGUCUUGUCUAUCUAGCUGUUACUCAUUUGGAUAUUUCCUCAUCCCAUUCACAUUCUGAGUCGGAUAUUGGCUUUCAUGUGGAGUACAUAAGCCCGUCGCGGGAGAAAACGUUGAUUCUUCCCUACCGACGUUAUGAAGCUGACCAAGUGAGUUCACUUUAAUGCUUAUCCUCUUUUGCUUCGAAACAUUCUACUUUUCAGGGUAACUUUUGCACUGUUUUCGCUGGAUCGUACAAGCUUGUAUGGGACAAUUCAUAUUCAACAUUCUUCAAAAAGACCCUCCGGUACAAGGUGGAUGCAGUGCCUCCGGUCACUGAGACAGAGUAGCCGUGCAGAUACAGCCGAAGCCCUUAUACCAUGUUGUAACCUUAUUCUUUUGCCGACUGUGUUGCGGCAAUUCUAAUCGCCGGGUUUCAACGAUCAUACACUACACGUGGUAGCCCACUGGUGUAUGAGAUGCAGAAUAUGUAUCUUUGUGUGCAAAUAUGUUUACGAUGACCUGCUGAUGCAUGAAUGCAUCUGUACUAGAAGCAUUACCUUUUUUUUUAUAAUCACAAAGAAGCAUUAUUUGACUGACAAA